AUGCGAUGCAUUAUGCAUACGGCGCGUCAGUGUCACUCUGAACUGUGCCGUUCUGAAACUGGAGCUACCGCUCAAAGCAUGGAGUCGUUGCAGCUCUACCAGUACCAGCUCCUCCUCACUCUCCUGGCCAUUGUCGUCCCUCUUCUAUGCCUCAACCGCGCGGUGCGCCGGCACCGGCGCCGGCACCGCGAGGGUGCCCGCCUGCUGCCUCCGUCUCCGUGGGCACUCCCGGUCAUCGGCCACCUCCACCACCUCGUGGGAGACCUGCCGCACCGCGCCAUGCGCGACCUGGCGCGACGCCACGGCCCUCUCCUGCUGCUCCGCCUCGGCGGCCUCCCCGUCGUGGUCGCCUCCUCCGCGGACGCCGCGCGCGAGGUCAUGGUGGCGCGCGACGUCGACUUCGCCACGCGCCCCAUCAGCCGCAUGAUCCGCCUGUGCAUCCCCGAGGGAGCAGAGGGGAUAGUCUUCGCGCCGUAUGGUGACAAGUGGCGGCAGAUCCGCAAGAUCUGCACCGUCGAGCUGCUGAGCGCCAGGCGCGUCCAGUCCUUCCGGCCCGUGCGCGAGGAGGAGGCCGGCCGGCUGCUCCUGGCGGUGGCGGCGGCCGCCGCGUCGUCUACCCCGGUGAACCUCAGCCAGCGGCUGUCGGCGUACGCGGCCGACUCGGCGGUGCGCGCCAUCAUCGGGAGCAGGUUCAAGGACCGGGAUAAGUUCCUGGUGAUGCUGGAGCGCGGGAUCAGGCUGUUCGCCAGGAUGAGCUUGCCGGACCUCUACCCGUCGUCGCGCCUCGCCAUGCUCGUCAGCCGGAUGCCGGGCCGGAUGAAGCGGCACCAGGAAGAAGGUGCCGCGUUCAUGGACGCCGUCGUCCAGGAGCACCAGGAGAACAGAGCAGCCGAUGACGACAAGGAGGACUUGCUCGACGUGCUCCUGAGGAUCCAGCGGGAAGGCCACCUGCAGUUCCCCAUGUCCACUGACAACAUCAAGUCGGCCGUCGGGGACAUGUUCGCCGGGGGCAGUGACACGUCGGCAACCACGCUGAUCUGGACCAUGGCCGAGCUCUUGAAGAACCCCAGGGUGAUGCGGAAGGCGCAAGACGAGGUCCGGCGAGCCCUCGCCGGACAACCCAACGUGACAGAGGACUCCCUAGGCGGCCUCAACUACAUGCGCCUGGUGAUCAAGGAGGUGCUCCGGCUGCACCCUCCGGCGCCGCUGCUGCUGCCGCGGGAGUGCAUGAACGACUGUCGGGUCUUGGGCUUCGACGUGCCCAAGGGUACCAUGGUGCUCGUCAACGCCUGGGCCAUCAGCAGGGACCCCGCCCACUGGGACGCCGCCGAAGAGUUCAUACCGGAGAGGUUCGAGCGCGGCGAGGUCGACUUCAAGGGGGCCGACAUGGAGUACACGCCGUUCGGAGCGGGCCGGCGGAUGUGCCCCGGGAUGUCGUUCGGCUUGGCCAACGUGGAGCUCGCGCUCGCCGGGCUGCUGUACCAUUUCGACUGGGAGCUGCCCGGCGGGGCGCAGGCCAAGGAGCUCGACAUGACGGAGAAGAUGGGAGUCACCGUGCGGCUGCGCCGUGACCUUCUACUUGUUCCGGUGGUCCGAGUGCCCUUACCACUAGACUAG
This 1617-nucleotide ribosomal RNA is filed under the name Triticum aestivum (bread wheat). RNAcentral describes it as "partial small subunit ribosomal RNA". The record is from RNAcentral. Lineage: Eukaryota; Viridiplantae; Streptophyta; Magnoliopsida; Poales; Poaceae.